AGAAAGCAUCACCUCAGAGACUGAAACUGACAGGCAUUUGGCAGCUGCUGAACCUCUCUCAGCAACAUGUGCCAUCUUUGAGGUGGUGUCAGCACAGCAGUCGAGCAAAGCUGUGCAGGAGCUGCUCCCAGAGCUGUUUCCUGUUCUCCUGCAGCAGGUCAGCCGAACCUCAGGACAAAAGAUGCCUUUGCCAAGGAUAAGCAGCUGGAGCCUAUUCCAAAAAGACCAACAACAUACUGAGGGCAACCCUUGCCGUUCUGUGCCUCUCUUUCCCCAGGUUUUCUGUCCAAG
Long non-coding RNA from Mauremys reevesii (Reeves's turtle), 291 nucleotides. RefSeq lists it as uncharacterized. The record is from RefSeq and is a predicted model, not a curated record. NCBI's taxonomy places the organism in Eukaryota, Metazoa, Chordata, Testudines, Geoemydidae. The transcript is spliced from 3 exons.